UAACCAUGAUGUGGACAAGUAAUUAGAAUGUCUUUGAAGCGCUCCCAAGCUUGAAAAAAUAGUUCAUUCCCCUUUUGGGAGAAUGACAUGAUUUCUUAUUUUAAUGCA
Small nucleolar RNA from Magnolia sinica, 108 nucleotides. The record is from RefSeq and is a predicted model, not a curated record. Lineage: Eukaryota; Viridiplantae; Streptophyta; Magnoliopsida; Magnoliales; Magnoliaceae.